RNAcentral lists this non-coding RNA (195 nucleotides) under Zea mays. The record is from RNAcentral. Lineage: Eukaryota; Viridiplantae; Streptophyta; Magnoliopsida; Poales; Poaceae.
GUCAUGCCUUGCUAGAUCAUGCUGUGGCAGCCUCACUUCUUCCCGUCCUUGGGCAUAGCACGGUGGUGGUGGCCGUGUUCGUCUGGUAAAGCAGGUAGUAUAUAUGUACCAACAGUUGCUGCAUCCUACCUUCUAAAGUUUAUUUCUCUACAUCUCUUGGGAGUAGAGUGGUAGUGACAUUCUGAUCUGGGUGCA